CGGACGGGUGAGUAACGCGUGGGUAACCUGCCCCAUACAGGGGGAUAACAGUUAGAAAUGACUGCUAAUACCGCAUAAGCGCACUGCAUCGCAUGAUGAAGUGUGAAAAACUGAGGUGGUAUGGGAUGGGCCCGCGUCUGAUUAGCCAGUUGGCGGGGUAACGGCCCACCAAAGCGACGAUCAGUAGCCGACCUGAGAGGGUGACCGGCCACAUUGGGACUGAGACACGGCCCAAACUCCUACGGGAGGCAGCAG
Molecule: ribosomal RNA, 255 nt
Filed under: uncultured bacterium
Lineage: Bacteria
Description: partial 16S ribosomal RNA
Rfam family: Bacterial small subunit ribosomal RNA
Source: RNAcentral